This 420-nucleotide ribosomal RNA is filed under the name Triticum aestivum (bread wheat). RNAcentral's name for it is "partial small subunit ribosomal RNA". The record is from RNAcentral. Lineage: Eukaryota; Viridiplantae; Streptophyta; Magnoliopsida; Poales; Poaceae.
AUGGCGCCGCACGCCGCCGCCGGUCCGGACUGCUGCAGAGCGGCCGCCAUGCGAGCGCAGCUCGCCGCGCCGGCGCCGGCAGAUGAGGAGGAGGAGGAGGCGCUGGUGGUGAAGGUGAAGCUCCUCGACCUCUUCUUGGGCGGCAACAGCGACUCCUGUAUCUGGAUGCUGGUGGGGAGGCUGCACCCGGCCGCUAGCUGGAGCUGCAAGCCCGUCGUCGUCGUCGUUGGAGAUGGAGAUGCCGCUACGGCUCUCUUCUUCGGCGGCAGCAGUGAUGGAUCGAUGAUGGUGCGGAAGCUGUGCCCGGCCGGCUGGAGCUGGACGCCCGUCGUCGUCAUCGGAGCAAGAAUUCUUCAGAUCGGGUAUGGGAAAACAGCUAGGUACACCAUCGGAAGGAAGGAGGCCCGGGAAGGUAUAUAA